GACGAACGCUGGCGGCGUGCUUAACACAUGCAAGUCGAACGGUAAGGCCCUUCGGGGUACACGAGUGGCGAACGGGUGAGUAACACGUGGGUGAUCUGCCCUGCACUUCGGGAUAAGCCUGGGAAACUGGGUCUAAUACCGGAUAGGACCACUGCCUGCAUGGGUGGUGGUGGCAAGCUUUUGCGGUGUGGGAUGGGCCCGCGGCCUAUCAGCUUGUUGGUGGGGUGAUGGCCUACCAAGGCGACGACGGGUAGCCGGCGUGAGAGGGUGAGCGGCCACACUGGGACUGAGAUACGGCCCAGACUCCUACGGGAGGCAGCAGUGGGGAAUAUUGCACAAUGGGCGCAAGCCUGAUGCAGCGACGCCGCGUGAGGGAUGACGGCCUUCGGGUUGUAAACCUCUUUCAGCACCGACGAAGCGCAAGUGACGGUAGGUGCAGAAGAAGGACCGGCCAACUACGUGCCAGCCGCCGCAGUAA
RNAcentral lists this ribosomal RNA (478 nucleotides) under uncultured bacterium. RNAcentral's name for it is "partial 16S ribosomal RNA". It matches the Rfam family "Bacterial small subunit ribosomal RNA", at positions 28 to 523 of the family's 1533-position model. The record is from RNAcentral.